UACGUAGGGGGCAAGCGUUAUCCGGAUUUACUGGGUGUAAAGGGAGCGUAGACGGCAAUGCAAGUCUGGAGUGAAAGGCGGGGGCCCAACCCCCGGACUGCUCUGGAAACUGUAUAGCUGGGGUGCAGGAGAGGUAAGUGGAAUUCCUAGUGUAGCGGUGAAAUGCGUAGAUAUUAGGAGGAACACCAGUGGCGAAGGCGGCUUACUGGACUGUAACUGACGUUGAGGCUCGAAAGCGUGGGGAGCAAACAGG
This 253-nucleotide ribosomal RNA is filed under the name uncultured bacterium. RNAcentral's name for it is "partial 16S ribosomal RNA". It matches the Rfam family "Bacterial small subunit ribosomal RNA", at positions 524 to 776 of the family's 1533-position model. The record is from RNAcentral.